This is a non-coding RNA of Paramarasmius palmivorus, 96 nucleotides long. The record is from the annotation of a GenBank genome assembly. Lineage: Eukaryota; Fungi; Basidiomycota; Agaricomycetes; Agaricales; Marasmiaceae.
GGGCACAUGGUGUAGUUGGUUAUCACAUCCGCUUAGCAUAACAGACAGAUCGUGUAAGCUUGCGGGGGGUGCUGGGUUCAAUUCCCAGUGUGUCCA